AUUGAACGCUGGCGGCAGGCCUAACACAUGCAAGUCGAGCGAGCGGCGGACGGGUGAGAAAUGUAUGGGGACUGCCCGAUAGAGGGGGAUAACUACUGGAAACGGUGGCUAAUACCGCAUACUAUCGGAUAACCCAUAUGGGAUUAGCGAUUUGGUGAGGGAAUGGCUCACCAAGGCGACGAUCCCUAGCUGGUCUGAGAGGAUGAUCUGCCACACUGGGACGGAGACACGGCCCCGAAUCCUCCGGAGGCAGCAGUGGGGAAUAUUGCACAAUGGUCUCAAGCCUGAUUCAGCCAUGCCGCGUGUAUGAAGAAGGCCCUAGGGUUGUAAAGUACUUUCAGUCGGGAGGCGUUACCGACAGAAGAAGCACCGGCUAACUCCGUGCCAGCAGCCGCGGUAAUUC
This 403-nucleotide ribosomal RNA is filed under the name uncultured bacterium. RNAcentral's name for it is "partial 16S ribosomal RNA". It matches the Rfam family "Bacterial small subunit ribosomal RNA", at positions 30 to 526 of the family's 1533-position model. The record is from RNAcentral.